This 467-nucleotide ribosomal RNA is filed under the name uncultured bacterium. RNAcentral describes it as "partial 16S ribosomal RNA". It matches the Rfam family "Bacterial small subunit ribosomal RNA", at positions 28 to 507 of the family's 1533-position model. The record is from RNAcentral.
GACGAACGCUGGCGGCGUGCUUAACACAUGCAAGUCGAACGAUGAAGCCCAGCUUGCUGGGUGUACGAGUGGCGAACGGGUGAGUAACACGUGAGUAACCUGCCCUGAACUCUGGGAUAAGCACUGGAAACGGUGUCUAAUACUGGAUACGACCUAUCACCGCAUGGUGUGUGGGUGGAAAGAUUUAUCGGUUCUGGAUGGACUCGCGGCCUAUCAGCUAGAUGGUGAGGUAAUGGCUCACCAUGGCGACGACGGGUAGCCGGCCUGAGAGGGUGACCGGCCACACUGGGACUGAGACACGGCCCAGACUCCUACGGGAGGCAGCAGUGGGGAAUAUUGCACAAUGGGCGCAAGCCUGAUGCAGCAACGCCGCGUGAGGGAUGACGGCCUUCGGGUUGUAAACCUCUUUUAGUAGGGAAGAAGCGAAAGUGACGGUACCUGCAGAAAAAGCACCGGCUAACUACGUG